RNAcentral lists this long non-coding RNA (7335 nucleotides) under Sorghum bicolor (sorghum). RNAcentral describes it as "long non-coding RNA (SBIC_LNC008360)". The record is from RNAcentral. Lineage: Eukaryota; Viridiplantae; Streptophyta; Magnoliopsida; Poales; Poaceae.
GUUUGAUCCGACGGCCCACAUUCAUUUGGAGGGGCUAUAUAAGCAGGCCCCCUGGCCCCUGGAGAACAUACCUCUUCUACAGAAUCAAAACUAGGGUUUCAAUUAUUCAUCCAAGUAGAGAGGAUCCCUCUAGUUCAUCUAGUUCUAGUUCUAGUUCAUCUACUUCUAGUUUUAGUUAGUUCUAGUUGUAAUCUAGAAAAUAGGGAGAGAGAAGAGGAGAGCAGAGAAGGAGCCGGAUUUGUCGGAUCUUCCUCAACAUUGCACUUUUGCAGCAACUGGUUCGUUCUUCAUCGUUCUCCAAGUUCUUCAAUUCAUAAUUCUUGAGUUCUUUAAUUACUUUUAUUUACAUUCAAGUUAAUUAUUGGAUUCCCGCUUGCAUCAAGUGCUCUAGUCUUUGAAACGCUAGAGUAGUAAUUAAUAGAUUAGACGUGGUGUCUAGUAUUGCAAUUACCUGGAAUUGCACCCAAUUGUGCGGAUUGUUGUGGUAGCUCUAGGGUAGUGAUAGCCCUAGCGGUCGACGUAUUCCACCUCGUUCGGAUCGGUGUUUGUAGGACCAUAGUCAGAGCUUCCUAUCCCCUUCUCAUCUCUUUUUGUGGUUAGUGUUCUGAUGUCCCGAAAUAAAUAAUCUUUGAAGUAAUUCUUGAUUCUUAGAUCAACUAGAGAACUCUCAGGAAACUUCCUCUCUUCCUACCAAAAAUAAUUAUAUAGUUAUCCUUGGGCGAUCUUGAAUCUUAAUUAGUACACUCACGUUCCCUGUGGAAAAUCGAUACUCUGGAAUACUCCCGGGUGAAAGCUACAUCGGUAUCUGUGCGCUUGCGGAUUUUUCUGUUUGCGUUUAAAAUACCCAACAAGCUUUCUGGCACCGUUGCCGGGGAAUGGUAGCUGUGCUAGUUUCGAACCAAGUCGUCUGUGUAUCCUUUUUCUUUUCCUUUUUUAUCACACUCACCUUACCAUUUUCACCAUACCACAUGGAUUUCACUCCAAACAUUAAUGAGCAUGGAAUUUAUUUCAUAGGCACUUCAUUUGCUCCAUGUUUAUAUGCAACAUCUUCCCAAUCUAUUGGUCUCUCCAACAUCACCACAUUCGAGAUCUCCAACCCUCUCUUCCUUUCUAUUUAUAAAAACUUUAAAAGGGCAGUUGUUGAUGCAUAUGUCUAUAAUAAAUAUUGCAGAUCUCAUUGAGUUGAUCUUGAUAUAGGUCAGCGUUGGAGGGCAAACCACUUCGCCGACAUAAAUUGAUGGUUUCCCAAGGACAAGCUUAGUGUCCUAAAAUAAGCACUGAUCAAAUCGUAACAAGAGCUCUUAAUUAUUUGCAGCAUUACCUUGUGUAUUGAGCAUAUAAGGAUAAUUAUAAAAAAAUUCCUUCGGGUAUUCUUGUCACUAACCUUUCUAGGAUUGUAGCAAGAAGAUCAGAUGAAUGACAAGCACAAGGUAUGUCCAACCAAUCAUCAUACAACAUUGAAUUAAAUUCAUGCAAACUUGAAUCUUGCAAAAUUCAAGCUUGGGGGAGUACUUUACAUAAAAACAUCCUUUGCCAUGUUGCUAUGUUGGUUGUCCCUACCUUUGAGACAUGCUCAAUUUGUUAAAUACUAAUCACAGUACUUCAUCUCCACUUGAGUAGAUCUCUAUAAAUGCUCUCAUGGUACCUUUAUUUGCUUUAGUAUAUGUCUAGGUUUGGAGUAGUUUCAAUUAUCUCUUAAUUAAGCAUGGUGCUUAGUUUAGGGCUGAUGAUCUUACUUCCAGAGGAGUUUAAAUUAAGCAUGAUGCUUAGGUUAAAAUGCCCUCCUAAAUCAAAUUAGACAUGGUGUCUAGGUUGAUUUUUGUGCCGAUAGUGUGCUAUAGUAGAUAUUGGAUAUUUUGUUGGACUAACCCCUAUAGGAAAACUUUCAAUAUCAACCUGGGAAGUCCUGAGAUAAACUCACAUUGAAGACAAAGAGAGAGACACAUAAAGUUUAACAAUUUACACAAGGAAGGCAUAGCUCACAAGAGAUGAUCCAUGGAGGGUGCCACAAACACGAUGCAUAACCGCUAAGAAAGAAAAGCUUCCACAAGGUGAUACUGUACCAUCACUCUUCAAGUAAGGUAACAUCUUAAGGUACUUGACUAUCACUUUUAUAAUCUUCUCCUUGGUUCUGGUGUUCACAUGAAUAAAAAAGACAAACAUGUAUGAUUUACAACUCUAGAUUAACCAACCCCGAUUCAAUAUGUUUAGUCCUUCCACCGUUGUGAUCCCACACUCCUAAUCAUACGAGCUAAAAUGUUGCCCACUCAAUCUUUGGAAGAUAUAUAAAAAAACACAACAUAAAUAUAGAUAGAUUAUCUUCCAUUAGGUUGAGCAAUCUUAUCUGACAAAUGUUUUAAAUGCUACACUCAUGAUCUUAUUAUCCAUCAAGUUUGUCUUGCUCACUAUGCUUAAGGUUAGAGAGAACAAAUACACUUUUGGUUCUGUUAGUGUUUUCCACCAACAGGGCCCAUGCACUUGAUCUCUGCCAUGUCUCUAUGAGCUGGUACACUUCGAGCAAAAUAUGAAGGAGUUUUACAACUCCCAGACUCCACUAAGUGAAGAAUCUGGAUUUACGAGCACAAACACACUGGAGAUAAUAGACACUCAGGCAAUCACUGCCCUGAGAUGCUUGAGGACAUAAACUACAUCAACAACUACUACUACUACUACUACAACCGUCCUCAACAAAAUCAAGGUUGGAAUCAACAGAGGCCUAACUACUCAGGUAAUUAUCAAGGUAAUAAUUCUUACAAUAAUAAUAAUAAUUUUCUACCUCUGAGAGAGUUAGUGUCUAAUCAAGGAAAGCUAAUGGAUAACCUAUCUAAGAAAUUGGCAUCUAAUGAUAAAAUGUUAGAAAAUAUAAAUAAUAGAAUGGAUAAUUUCUCUACUGCCAUCAAGAAUUAAAUUAGCUUUAAUAAAAUAAUUGAAUCUUAGUUAAAUCAAAUAGCUGCUGCUGUUCCUGCUACUAACCCCGGUAUACCAUCACAACUGGAAGGAUUAGAAUCUACAAAUCUUGUAGACAUGUGUGAUGCAGGUAACAACUGGAGUAAUCCUGUUGUGGAAGUAAUUACUUACCUUCUACCGGUCAAGAGAGGUGAUCCUGGAUGCCUCGAUCUCCAUCGGCAUGGUGGACUUCCUAGAAGCACUCUUCAACUUUGGCUCCAGCGUCAACGUUAUGCCUAGGUUACUCUAUGAAAAAUUCUCUACACAUCCUUUACUAGAAACAACCAUGUGUUUGCAGCUUGCAGAUCGGACACUAAGUUUCCCAAAGGGAAUAUUGAAGAACCUCUGCGUCCGAGUUGGUACCUUGUACGCCCCAGCAGACUUCGUGGUGAUAGAGACUGGUACUGAUGAGAGGGCACCCAUCAUCCUAAGGAGGCCAUUCCUGAACACCUCAGUAGCUGUCAUCUACGCUAGUGCUGCCAAGAUCAGUUUCUACAUCAAGGGGACAAAGGAGAAGUUUUCCUUCAAGAACAAUACUACACAAGUCUUAGAGCAAUCCCGACAUGAACCAAGGAAGAGGACCAAUAGGAGGAACAGGAACAAGCAAAUGUGGACAAAGUUAGCUAAGAUGGUCACUGUAGUUCAAGGAGGUCAAGACCUUCAACUUAAGUCACCGUUCCUGACCAAAAAGGACGACCCAGGUAUGCCAAGCAUCCAGUGCUCCAUUAAUGGAUAUAACUUCCAGAAGACGCUUCGUGACACCGGGUCAGGCGUCAACAUAAUGGCCGCAGUCACCUAUCAGCUCCUGUUCGGAACCAUGCCCCUAAAACUAACAUACAUUCAGCUCCAGAUGGCAGAUCAGACAUUACGAGAGGUUGAAGGUUAUUGACAUGGGAGAAGAUGAGUACGAUCCACCCAUCAUCCUUGGGAGACCGUUCCUCAGCACCGUUAAAGCAAUCAUCUACAUUGGAACCGGAGAAGUCCACAUGCACUUCCCCUCUAAGAAGGUACGCCGCUAUUUUACUGACCCUAACUAUAUAGUUGAAGACUCUAAGAAGGUCAGGACAAGAAGAAGACGACACAACCGCAACCAGAGGAGGCAAAUCAUCAAGGACGGAUGGGCAGACUACGAAGGAGAAGUGGUAAGGUCUGAAGACAUACAACUUAAACAUAACUGUCCUAAGGAGACCAUAGCACCGACUCCUGUAUGGAGAGAGACGAUAGUUAUACACGAAGAGCAGGCGCCGCCGGAACCACCGACUCCGCCAUCCAGCGAAUCCUAGGACGACUGAGAAAACAGAGAGUCCCGCUCGAAAUACUUAAAAACACCAAACGCCUUGCCAAGAGGUAAACUUGGUAGUUAUCCUUUUCCUUUUAAUUAUUUAAAAUACUUUGAUUAGUUAAUCAGGUUCAUAUCAUCUUGAAAAUAGAAUAAAAUGUUAAAAUAGUAAGCCCCAUGUGAGUAUGCUCAUGGCAUAAAACCCAUAAGUACAUUCACUGUGGUGGCGUAAAAAAUGAAAUAAAUAUAUUCCUGUCCUAUAAAAAUAAAAAUAUAAAAAUAAAUUUAUGAUCCUACUAAAGAGAGUAAAAUUUAUUGAGGAGGCUCAACAUGAUAAAGGCUAGAUAUUUAUGCUAACACUUAACCAGUUCCACAAAGCUUUGUUGUCUAUUUGAGCACCACUGAAUUCAAGGAUCAAAGAAGACUAGGAGACGGAGGACAUCCUAAUCGCUGUCACGGUGCUGCCGACAUUCAAAUACACCUCCGCCACCUGCUAGCUACAUCAGAAGAAAUUACAUCAAAAUCCAGCUUGGGGGAGAGCACCCCCAUUUAUCCAGCUAAGUGUUCUACUCACGUUUAUACUUUACUUAAAUAAUAAAAAGAUGCAUAAUCAUAAAAACCCAAAUAAAGAUUUUGUGCUUAUAUAUAUCUUUGCUUAGUUUGCUAAAUAAAUAAAUAAAUAAAGUUUGCUAUGAACCAUCAUGAUAAGCUCUCACAUGGAAAGGAUGAAUAGUUGCUCUGCCAUGACUAGUUCUUAAAAUUGAAAUCUCUCUCAAGUUUAGGCAUGACUGUUAUUAAUUAAGAUUUGCUCUAAACCUGAACUUGUGGGAAGAGUACUUGAUCUAAAGUCUAAGUCGUUAAUGGAUACGAUAUGGGAAGGUUGAGUUGUUGUUUAUCUGUUCCUAGAGUUGCUAGAAUUCUGGAGAAUUUUUAUCUUUGAAAAUCUUUAAAGUGUUGCAUGAUGAGUUCCUGUAUGAUGAGAGUUUAAAAUCCUACCACAGCCAUAUAUACAUACUUAUUAGACUAUGAACCAUACAUUUACUUUUUACUGCUUAUGAGCAUUAAGUGUGGUCAAGCUGUGUAGACCCUUAGGAGCUUGUCAUGCGGUUAAAAUCAAGAUUCACUUGCACGUUCACUCAUACAUGCUGCUUCUACUCUGGAAGUACGCAUCCACAUACAUCCACUCAUUUCCAUAUCUAGAUUCACCCAAAAUUAUUCUACUCCUAUCUAGGUGAGAAUAGCCAAAAACAUUAUCCUAUCCUUGUUAUUCCCCGUGAAAUAAAUGCUCGAGAUAUUUUGGUUACUACCACUUGCUACAUUAUUCCAGGAGGGUGAGUGCUCUAAAAAAGGUGAAUACGAGGAAAUAAAAAGGGGCAAGUGCCUGAAACCUCGAAAAAAAAGAAGAAAAAAAGAAAAAGUGAGAAGAGAGGUAAAAAUGGACAAGUGUCCGAUAGUAGAAUUAGGGGUACAAGAUACCCAUCUGAGAGAAAAGAAAAAUAAAAUAUAGAGCAUCUCAUUCGCCUCAAAAAGUUUCAAAAGAGCAAGGAAGGUAUGUAUCCCCUCAAAAGAGCAACAAGUAGAAUUAGACUUUCACCAUUGUUAUCACCAUCAUCACCAUACACCAUUCAUUCGUCACACAUGCACAUCUUGAUUUGACUUAUUGACUUGUUCUUUUGGAUCCAUGGUUUGACUAUCCAAUAAAUGUCUUGUAAGUAUGUAUUAGCUGUCUCCCACCUAUGAGCUCCAGAUAUCAAAACCUUAUUAGAGUAGUGUGAGAUAGAAGGCAAUGCGACUAUGCCUCAUACCAAAAAUACCACAUACUUUGAGAGAAGGCAUACACCAUUACUGCCUUGGUAAGGAUCUAGAAAUACCACAAAAGAGAGACUAGAGAGAGUGAUACAAGGAAUCUCUGAGUUUUAUUUGAAAAUCUGCAAAAACUCCAGAGCUAUAGUUAAUCGAAGAACAAGCGACAUGGCGCUUGACUAGACCGUUCUAUCUUUUAACUGCUCAAGACACAAGUGACAGUUGCAAGCCCCAUGGUGGAAGGUAAAAUGAGUAAGGGUAAAUCUAAACCGUUUACCCUAACCCAGAGAUGAGAUCUUGUUUGAACGCAUGUGUAUCUUUAAGGCUUGAAACCACUACAGAAACUCUUGAGUUCAUCUUUGCUCAGGGAUGAGCAAAGGUUAAGCUUGGGGGAGCUUGUUGACGGUCCUUAAUGCUCAUAUUUAACCGUCAACUAAUCAUGGAAAAGGACCUAUAUGCAACCGACACCUAGACUUAGGGCUUUGUCUAAAUUCCACGAGUUUGGGUGUUUGUCUAUUUCUGCAGGGGGUUAUCAGGAAAUAUAGAGAAAAGGCCAACACGUCAGGUUUACAUAGAGAUAUUAACGUGUGCGCUAAUUUUCUAUCAUCUAGAAGACUCCAGAAGCCACGGGAACGAACGGGAGGCCGAACAGGCCCGGGGGCAGGGCGCCCGCCCUCCCCCUUGGGCGCCCGCCCAGCUAUAGGAGCCAAUCAGGCUCUGCCUCACGGAUUAUGCUCCAUCGACAUAAAGGAUUAAGGAAAACCGUGCGAUUAAGGUCGGUUUGAUCCGACGGCCCAUAUUCAUUUGGAGGGGCUAUAUAAGCAGGCCCCCUGGCCCCUGGAGAACAUACCUCUUCUACAGAAUCAAAGCUAGGGUUUCAAUUAUUCAUCCAAGUAGAGAGGAUCCCUCUAGUUCAUCUAGUUCUAGUUCUAGUUCAUCUGGUUCUAGUUCUAGUAGUUCUAGUUGUAAUCUAGAAAAUAGGGAGAGAGAAGAGGAGAGCGGAGGAGGAGCCGGAUCUAUCGGAUCUUCCUCAACAUUGUACUUUUGCAGCAAUUGGUUCGUUCUUCAUUGUUCUCCAAGUUCUUCAAUUCAUAAUUCCUGAGUUCUUUAAUACUUUUAUUUACAUUCAAGUUAUUUAUUGGAUUCCCGCUUGCAUCAAGUGCUCUAGUCUUUGAAACGCUAGAGUAGUAAUUAAUAGAUUAGAUGUGGUGUUUAGUCCUGCAAUUACCUAGAAUUGCACCCAAUGCUGCAAAUUGUUGUGGUAGCCCUAGGGUAGUGACAGCCCUAACGGUCGACGUAUUCCACCU